This 460-nucleotide ribosomal RNA is filed under the name uncultured bacterium. RNAcentral's name for it is "partial 16S ribosomal RNA". It matches the Rfam family "Bacterial small subunit ribosomal RNA", at positions 338 to 795 of the family's 1533-position model. The record is from RNAcentral.
CCUACGGGAGGCAGCAGUGAGGAAUAUUGGUCAAUGGACGAGAGUCUGAACCAGCCAAGUAGCGUGAAGGAUGACUGCCCUCUGGGUUGUAAACUUCUUUUAUAUGGGAAUAAAAUGUUCCACGUGUGGGAUUUUGAAUGUACCAGAUGAAUAAGGAUCGGCUAACUCCGUGCCAGCAGCCGCGGUAAUACGGAGGAUCCGAGCGUUAUCCGGAUUUGUUGGGGUUAAAGGGAGCGUAGGUGCAGUGUUAAGUCAGUUGGUAAAGUUUGCGGCUGAACCGUAAAAUCGCAGUUGAAACGGGCAGUCUUGAGUACAGGAGAGGUGGGCGGAAUUCGUGGUGUAGCGGUGAAAUGCGUAGAUAUCACGAAGAACUCCGAUGGCGAAGGCAGGUCACUGGAUUGCAACUGACGCUGAGGCUCGAAAGUGUGGGGAGCAAACAGGAGUAGAUACCCUAGUAGUC